This 574-nucleotide ribosomal RNA is filed under the name Saccharomycopsis fibuligera. Its description in RNAcentral is "eukaryotic LSU rRNA". It matches the Rfam family "Eukaryotic large subunit ribosomal RNA", at positions 65 to 661 of the family's 3401-position model. The record is from RNAcentral. Lineage: Eukaryota; Fungi; Ascomycota; Saccharomycetes; Ascoideales; Saccharomycopsidaceae.
CUCCACGGCUUUGCGUUAGAAACGGCGAGUGAGCGGCAAAAGCUCAAAUUUGAAAGCUAGCACCUUCGGUGUUCGCGUUGUAAUUUGAAGAUAGUUUCCUUAGAGUAGUCCUUUAUCUAUGUUCCUUGGAACAGGACGUCAUAGAGGGUGAGAACCCCGUAUGAUUUUGGAUACUACUCUUUGUGGGAUUCUAUCGAAGAGUCGAGUUGUUUGGGAAUGCAGCUCUAAGUGGGUGGUAAAUUCCAUCUAAAGCUAAAUAUUGGCGAGAGACCGAUAGCGAACAAGUACAGUGAUGGAAAGAUGAAAAGAACUCUGAAGAGAGAGUGAAAAAGUACGUGAAAUUGCUGAAAGGGAAGGGCUUGAGGUCAGACUUGGUGUUUAAUGAUUAUCAGUUCUUCUUGGACUGUGCACUCGUUUUUCACCGGGCCAAUAUCAGUUUUAGCGGUAGAGUACCCCUUGAAAUGUGGCUUCCUUCGGGGAGUGUUAUAGUCUUGGGGAGAUCUACUUGCUGGGACUGAGGACUGCGCUUCGGCAAGGAUAUUGGCGUAAUGACCUUAAGCCGCCCGUCUAACCA